Non-coding RNA from Cordylochernes scorpioides, 85 nucleotides. The record is from the annotation of a GenBank genome assembly. NCBI's taxonomy places the organism in Eukaryota, Metazoa, Arthropoda, Arachnida, Pseudoscorpiones, Chernetidae.
GUCCAGGGUAGCCUAGUGGACAUGGCAUCUGCUCAUAAGCGGGUUUGAUUCCCAUCACUGUGGGUUCGAUUCCCAUCACUGGACA